RNAcentral lists this ribosomal RNA (286 nucleotides) under uncultured bacterium. RNAcentral describes it as "partial 16S ribosomal RNA". It matches the Rfam family "Bacterial small subunit ribosomal RNA", at positions 28 to 311 of the family's 1533-position model. The record is from RNAcentral.
GAUGAACGCUAGCGGCAGGCUUAAUACAUGCAAGUCGAGGGGCAGCAGGGUGUAGCAAUACAUCGCUGGCGACCGGCAAACGGGUGCGGAACACGUACACAACUUUCCUUUAAGUGGGGAUAGCCCAGAGAAAUUUGGAUUAAUACCCCGUAAUAUUAUGAAGUGGCAUCAUUUUAUAAUUAUAGCUCCGGCGCUUGAAGAUGGAUGUGCGGCUGAUUAGGAGUUGGCGGGGUAACGGCCCACCAAGCCUACGAUCAGUAACUGGUGUGAGAGCACGACCAGUCAC